Molecule: ribosomal RNA, 786 nt
Filed under: uncultured bacterium
Lineage: Bacteria
Description: bacterial SSU rRNA
Rfam family: Bacterial small subunit ribosomal RNA
Source: RNAcentral
AGAGUUUGAUCAUGGCUCAGAACGAACGCUGGCGGCGUGCUUAACACAUGCAAGUCGAGUGCGCGUCUGUAGCAAUACAGAUGGCGCACGGCGCACGGGUGCGUAACACGUGGGCAAUCUGCCCUUCGAUGGGGAAUAACUCCGGGAAACCGAAGCUAAUUCCGCAUAACAUUCCUUGGACUUCGGUUCGAGGAUUCAAAGCCGUAAGGCGUCGAAGGAGGAGCCCGCGCACGAUUAGCUAGUUGGUAGGGUAACGGCCUACCAAGGCUUUGAUCGUUAGCUGGUCUGAGAGGAUGGCCAGCCACACUGGAACUGAGACACGGUCCAGACUCCUACGGGAGGCAGCAGUGGGGAAUCUUGCACAAUGGGCGAAAGCCUGAUGCAGCGACGCCGCGUGGGGGAUGAAGCAUCUCGGUGUGUAAACCCCUUUCGACUGGGACGAAUGCCUCGCAAGAGGAGUGACGGUACCAGUAGAAGAAGCCCCGGCUAACUACGUGCCAGCAGCCGCGGUAAGACGUAGGGGGCCAGCGUUGUUCGGAAUUACUGGGUGUAAAGGGUUCGUAGGCGGUGUGGCAAGUUGGGAGUGAAAUCUCUGGGCUCAACCCAGAGGCUGCUUCCAAAACUGCCAUGCUUGAGUGUGGGAGAGGCGCGUGGAAUUGCAGGUGUAGCGGUGAAAUGCGUAGAUAUCUGCAGGAACACCCGUGGCGAAAGCGGCGCGCUGGACCACUACUGACGCUGAGGAACGAAAGCUAGGGGAGCAAACAGGAUUAGAUACCCUAGUAGUCC